This 486-nucleotide ribosomal RNA is filed under the name Triticum aestivum (bread wheat). Its description in RNAcentral is "partial small subunit ribosomal RNA". The record is from RNAcentral. Lineage: Eukaryota; Viridiplantae; Streptophyta; Magnoliopsida; Poales; Poaceae.
AUGUAUUCUAAAAAACUAAUAUUCCCAAAGCUUCUUGGUAUAGAGCCUGAGAAUUUGUUUGCUUGGAGAAACAAUUGUUCUAGACGCCAGAGCAUACCAAUUUGUAUCGGGAUAGGACCUGACAUGUCAUUGUUGGAGAGACCGAGCCACACAAGAUUUUCUAACUUAGCGAUGGACCCUGGGACUGGCUUGGUGAGUAGGUUGUCACUAAGAUCUAGCCGUACAAGGCUACUUAUGUUUGAAAUAGCAACUGGAAGUCCACCUAUUAACUGGUUUUUGCUUGCAAUGAAAGUAACAAGUUUUGAACUAAGGUUUCCUACAAGACUUGGGAGGAUGGCAGUGAAAGAAUUAGCUUCUAUUGUAAGGACCUGGAGUUGUUUGCACUGGGAAAGCACUGACAAGAAGUCUAGAUUCCCCUCCAAAUUGUUACUUCACAAAAUAAGCUUGUUCAAAGCUGCAUUUUGCCCAAGUGUAAUUGGUACUUGA